Molecule: ribosomal RNA, 301 nt
Filed under: uncultured bacterium
Lineage: Bacteria
Description: partial 16S ribosomal RNA
Rfam family: Bacterial small subunit ribosomal RNA
Source: RNAcentral
CAGCCGCCGCGGGAAUACGUAGGUCCCGAGCGUUGUCCGGAUUUAUUGAGCGUAAAGCGAGCGCAGGCGGUUAGAUAAGUCUGAAGUUAAAGGCUGUGGCUUAACCAUAGUACGCUUUGGAAACUGUUUAACUUGAGUGCAAGAGGGGAGAGUGGAAUUCCAUGUGUAGCGGUGAAAUGCGUAGAUAUAUGGAGGAACACCGGUGGCGAAAGCGGCUCUCUGGCUUGUAACUGACGCUGAGGCUCGAAAGCGUGGGGAGCAAAUGGGAUUAGAUACCCCCGUAGUCCCUGUCUCUUAUACA